UACGGGGGGGGUAAGCGUUGUUCGGAAUUACUGGGCGUAAAGGGCUCGUAGGCGGCCAACUAAGUCGGACGUGAAAUCCCUCAGCUUAACUGGGGAACUGCGUCCGAUACUGGAUGGCUUGGAUUUGGGAGAGGGAUGCGGAAUUCCAGGUGUAGCGGUGAAAUGCGUAGAUAUCUGGAGGAACACCGGUGGCGGAGGCGGCAUCCUGGACCAAUAUUGACGCUGAGGAGCGAAAGCCAGGGGAGCAAACGGG
This 253-nucleotide ribosomal RNA is filed under the name uncultured bacterium. RNAcentral describes it as "partial 16S ribosomal RNA". It matches the Rfam family "Bacterial small subunit ribosomal RNA", at positions 524 to 776 of the family's 1533-position model. The record is from RNAcentral.